UUACAGUUGUUCAACCAGUUACUAAUCUACCUAAUUGUAACUGGUUGAACAACUGAACCC
This 60-nucleotide microRNA precursor is filed under the name Macaca mulatta (Rhesus monkey). Its description in RNAcentral is "Mml-Mir-582-v1_pre stem-loop". Lineage: Eukaryota; Metazoa; Chordata; Mammalia; Primates; Cercopithecidae. The record is from RNAcentral.